GAUGAACGCUGGCGGCGUGCCUAAUACAUGCAAGUCGAGCGAACAGAUGAGGAGCUUGCUCCUCUGACGUUAGCGGCGGACGGGUGAGUAACACGUGGAUAACCUACCUAUAAGACUGGGAUAACUUCGGGAAACCGGAGCUAAUACCGGAUAAUAUAUUGAACCGCAUGGUUCAAUAGUGAAAGACGGUUUUGCUGUCACUUAUAGAUGGAUCCGCGCCGCAUUAGCUAGUUGGUAAGGUAACGGCUUACCAAGGCGACGAUGCAUAGCCGACCUGAGAGGGUGAUCGGCCACACUGGAACUGAGACACGGUCCAGACUCCUACGGGAGGCAGCAGUAGGGAAUCUUCCGCAAUGGGCGAAAGCCUGACGGAGCAACGCCGCGUGAGUGAUGAAGGUCUUCGGAUCGUAAAACUCUGUUAUUAGGGAAGAACAAAUGUGUAAGUAACUAUGCACGUCUUGACGGUACCUAAUCAGAAAGCCACGGCUAACUACGUG
This 497-nucleotide ribosomal RNA is filed under the name uncultured bacterium. Its description in RNAcentral is "partial 16S ribosomal RNA". It matches the Rfam family "Bacterial small subunit ribosomal RNA", at positions 28 to 507 of the family's 1533-position model. The record is from RNAcentral.